Molecule: ribosomal RNA, 161 nt
Filed under: Viola odorata
Lineage: Eukaryota; Viridiplantae; Streptophyta; Magnoliopsida; Malpighiales; Violaceae
Description: 5.8S ribosomal RNA
Rfam family: 5.8S ribosomal RNA
About the family: 5.8S ribosomal RNA (5.8S rRNA) is a component of the large subunit of the eukaryotic ribosome. It is transcribed by RNA polymerase I as part of the 45S precursor that also contains 18S and 28S rRNA. Functionally, it is thought that 5.8S rRNA may be involved in ribosome translocation.
Source: RNAcentral
ACGACUCUCGGCAACGGAUAUUUCGGCUCUCGCAUCGAUGAAGAACGUAGCGAAAUGCGAUACUUGGUGUGAAUUGCAGAAUCCCGUGAAUCAUCGAGUCUUUGAACGCAAGUUGCGCCCGAAGCCUUUUGGCCGAGGGCACGUYUGCCUGGGUGUCACGC